Molecule: ribosomal RNA, 698 nt
Filed under: uncultured bacterium
Lineage: Bacteria
Description: bacterial SSU rRNA
Rfam family: Bacterial small subunit ribosomal RNA
Source: RNAcentral
UAACGCGUGAGGAACCUGCCUUUCAGUGGGGGACAACAGUUGGAAACGACUGCUAAUACCGCAUGACACUUUUGAGGGACAUCCCUUAAAAGUCAAAGCUUUAUGUGCUGAAAGAUGGCCUCGCGUCUGAUUAGCUAGUUGGUGAGGUAACGGCUCACCAAGGCGACGAUCAGUAGCCGGUCUGAGAGGAUGAACGGCCACAUUGGGACUGAGAUACGGCCCAGACUCCUACGGGAGGCAGCAGUGGGGAAUAUUGGGCAAUGGGGGAAACCCUGACCCAGCAACGCCGCGUGAAGGAAGAAGGCCUUCGGGUUGUAAACUUCUUUUACCAGGGACGAAGGACGUGACGGUACCUGGAGAAAAAGCAACGGCUAACUACGUGCCAGCAGCCGCGGUAAUACGUAGGUUGCAAGCGUUGUCCGGAUUUACUGGGUGUAAAGGGCGUGUAGGUGGAGAUGCAAGUUGGGAGUGAAAUCCAUGGGCUCAACCCAUGAACUGCUCUCAAAACUGUAUCCCUUGAGUAUCGGAGAGGCAAGCGGAAUUCCUAGUGUAGCGGUGAAAUGCGUAGAUAUUAGGAGGAACACCAGUGGCGAAGGCGGCUUGCUGGACGACAACUGACGCUGAGGCGCGAAAGCGUGGGGAGCAAACAGGAUUAGAUACCCUGGUAGUCCACGCUGUAAACGAUGAAUACUAGGUGU